RNAcentral lists this ribosomal RNA (464 nucleotides) under Vreelandella stevensii. RNAcentral's name for it is "partial 16S ribosomal RNA". It matches the Rfam family "Bacterial small subunit ribosomal RNA", at positions 338 to 795 of the family's 1533-position model. The record is from RNAcentral. Lineage: Bacteria; Pseudomonadati; Pseudomonadota; Gammaproteobacteria; Oceanospirillales; Halomonadaceae.
CCUACGGGAGGCUGCAGUGGGGAAUAUUGGACAAUGGGCGAAAGCCUGAUCCAGCCAUGCCGCGUGUGUGAAGAAGGCCUUCGGGUUGUAAAGCACUUUCAGUGGGGAAGAAAGCCUUGGGGCUAAUACCCUCGAGGAAGGACAUCACCCACAGAAGAAGCACCGGCUAACUCCGUGCCAGCAGCCGCGGUAUACGGAGGGUGCGAGCGUUAAUCGGAAUUACUGGGCGUAAAGCGCGCGUAGGCGGUCUGAUAAGCCGGUUGUGAAAGCCCCGGGCUCAACCUGGGAACGGCAUCCGGAACUGUCAGGCUAGAGUGCAGGAGAGGAAGGUAGAAUUCCCGGUGUAGCGGUGAAAUGCGUAGAGAUCGGGAGGAAUACCAGUGGCGAAGGCGGCCUUCUGGACUGACACUGACGCUGAGGUGCGAAAGCGUGGGUAGCAAACAGGAUUAGAUACCCUAGUAGUC